CGGGACGGGUGAGUAACGCGUGGGUAACCUGCCCUGUACAGGGGGAGUAACAGUUAGAAAUGACUGCUAACACCGCAUAAGCGCACGGUAAGGCAUCUUAGUGUGUGAAAAUAUUCAUAGGUACAGGAUGGGCCCGCGUCUGAUUAGCCAGUUGGCAGGGUAACGGCCUACCAAAGCGACGAUCAGUAGCCGGCUUGAGAGAGUGAACGGCCACAUUGGGACUGAGACACGGCCCAAACUCCUACGGGAGGCAGCAG
RNAcentral lists this ribosomal RNA (257 nucleotides) under uncultured bacterium. RNAcentral describes it as "partial 16S ribosomal RNA". It matches the Rfam family "Bacterial small subunit ribosomal RNA", at positions 98 to 354 of the family's 1533-position model. The record is from RNAcentral.